GCGCCCGUGGCUCAACUGGAUAGAGCACCACGCUACGAACGUGGGGGUUGGGAGUUCAAGUCUCUCCGGGCGCACCA
RNAcentral lists this transfer RNA (77 nucleotides) under Terriglobia bacterium. RNAcentral's name for it is "tRNA-Arg". It matches the Rfam family "tRNA". From Rfam's summary of the family: Transfer RNA (tRNA) molecules are approximately 80 nucleotides in length. Lineage: Bacteria; Pseudomonadati; Acidobacteriota; Terriglobia. The record is from RNAcentral.